AGAACGAACGCUGGCGGCAUGCCUAACACAUGCAAGUCGAACGAGACCUUCGGGUCUAGUGGCGCACGGGUGCGUAACGCGUGGGAAUCUGCCCUUGGGUUCGGGAUAACAGUUGGAAACGACUGCUAAUACCGGAUAAUGACUUCGGUCCAAAGAUUUAUUGCCCAGGGAUGAGCCCGUCGUAGGAUUAGCUAGUUGGUGAGGUAAAGGCUCACCAAGGCGACGAUCCUUAGCUGGUCUGAGAGGAUGAUCAGCCACACUGGGACUGAGACACGGCCCAGACUCCUACGGGAGCAGCAGUGGGGAAUAUUGGACAAGU
This 319-nucleotide ribosomal RNA is filed under the name uncultured soil bacterium. Its description in RNAcentral is "bacterial SSU rRNA". It matches the Rfam family "Bacterial small subunit ribosomal RNA", at positions 26 to 373 of the family's 1533-position model. The record is from RNAcentral.